CCUACGGGAGGCAGCAGUGGGGGAUAUUGGACAAUGGGGGGAACCCUGAUCCAGCGACGCCGCGUGAGUGAAGAAGUAUCUCGGUAUGUAAAGCUCUAUCAGCAGGGAAGAAGAAAUGACGGUACCUGAGUAAGAAGCCCCGGCUAACUACGUGCCAGCAGCCGCGGUAAUACGUAGGGGGCAAGCGUUAUCCGGAAUUACUGGGGGUAAAGGGAGCGUAGACGGUGAUGUAAGUCUGGAGUGAAAGGCGGGGGCCCAACCCCGGACUGCUCUGGAAACUAUGUGACUGGAGUGCAGGAGAGGUGAGCGGAAUUCCUAGUGUAGCGGUGAAAUGCGUAGAUAUUAGGAGGAACACCAGUGGCGAAGGCAGCUUACCAAUCUAUAUCUGACGUUGAGGCACGAAAGCGUGGGGAGCAAACAGGAUUAGAUACCCGGGUAGUC
RNAcentral lists this ribosomal RNA (441 nucleotides) under uncultured bacterium. Its description in RNAcentral is "partial 16S ribosomal RNA". It matches the Rfam family "Bacterial small subunit ribosomal RNA", at positions 338 to 795 of the family's 1533-position model. The record is from RNAcentral.